UACGUAGGGGGCUAGCGUUGUCCGGAAUCAUUGGGCGUAAAGAGCGUGUAGGCGGUCUGGUAAGUCCGCUGUGAAAGUCGGGGGCUCAACCCUCGAAUGCCGGUGGAUACUGGCGGGCUAGAGUGCGGAAGAGGCGAGUGGAAUUCCUGGUGUAGCGGUGAAAUGCGCAGAUAUCAGGAGGAACACCUAUUGCGAAGGCAGCUCGCUGGGACGUAACUGACGCUGAGACGCGAAAGCGUGGGGAGCAAACAGG
RNAcentral lists this ribosomal RNA (253 nucleotides) under uncultured bacterium. RNAcentral's name for it is "partial 16S ribosomal RNA". It matches the Rfam family "Bacterial small subunit ribosomal RNA", at positions 524 to 776 of the family's 1533-position model. The record is from RNAcentral.